UGCGUAGGCGGCGUUGUAAGUCAGAAGUGAAAGCUUUCAGCUCAACUGGAAAAUUGCUUUUGAUAAUGCAGUGCUUGAAUCGGGUUGAGGUUAGCGGAAUGUGACAUGUAGCGGUGAAAUGCAUAGAUAUGUCAUAGAACACCAAUUGCGAAGGCAGCUAACUAGGCCUGUAUUGACGCUGAGGCACGAAAGCGUGGGGAGCGAACAGGAUUAGAUACCCUGGUAGUCC
This 229-nucleotide ribosomal RNA is filed under the name uncultured bacterium. RNAcentral's name for it is "partial 16S ribosomal RNA". It matches the Rfam family "Bacterial small subunit ribosomal RNA", at positions 568 to 796 of the family's 1533-position model. The record is from RNAcentral.